Molecule: ribosomal RNA, 440 nt
Filed under: uncultured bacterium
Lineage: Bacteria
Description: partial 16S ribosomal RNA
Rfam family: Bacterial small subunit ribosomal RNA
Source: RNAcentral
CCUACGGGAGGCAGCAGUGGGGAAUAUUGCACAAUGGGGGAAACCCUGAUGCAGCGACGCCGCGUGCGUGAAGAAGGAUUUCUGUAUGUAAAGCUCUAUCAGCAGGGAAGAAAAUGACGGUACCUGAUUAAGAAGCCCCGGCUAACUACGUGCCAGCAGCCGCGGUAAUGCGUAGGGGGCAAGCGUUAUCCGGAUUUACUGGGUGUAAAGGGAGCGUAGACGGCAGCACAAGUCUGCAGUGAAAUGCCGGGGCUUAACCCCGGAACUGCUGUGGGAACUGGGUUGCUAGAGUGCAGGAGAGGUAUGUGGAAUUCGUAGUGUAGCGGUGAAAUGCGUAGAUAUUAGGAGGAACACCAGUGGCGAAGGCGGCUUACUGGAGCGUAACUGACGCUGAGGCUCGAAAGCGUGGGGAUCGAACAGGAUUAGAUACCCGGGUAGUC